GACGAACGCUGGCGGCGUGCUUAACACAUGCAAGUCGAACGGAAGGGCCCUGCUUUUGUGGGGUGCUCGAGUGGCGAACGGGUGAGUAACACGUGAGUAACCUGCCCUUGACUUUGGGAUAACUUCAGGGAACUGGGGCUAAUACCGGAUAGGAGCUCCUGCUGCAUGGUGGGGGUUGGAAAGUUUCGGCGGUUGGGGAUGGACUCGCGGCUUAUCAGCUUGUUGGUGGGGUAGUGGCUUACCAAGGCUUUGACGGGUAGCCGGCCUGAGAGGGUGACCGGCCACAUUGGGACUGAGAUACGGCCCAGACUCCUACGGGAGGCAGCAGUGGGGAAUAUUGCACAAUGGGCGGAAGCCUGAUGCAGCAACGCCGCGUGCGGGAUGACGGCCUUCGGGUUGUAAACCGCUUUCGCCUGUGACGAAGCGUGAGUGAUGGUAAUGGGUAAAGAAGCACCGGCUAACUACGUG
This 468-nucleotide ribosomal RNA is filed under the name uncultured bacterium. Its description in RNAcentral is "partial 16S ribosomal RNA". It matches the Rfam family "Bacterial small subunit ribosomal RNA", at positions 28 to 507 of the family's 1533-position model. The record is from RNAcentral.